RNAcentral lists this ribosomal RNA (420 nucleotides) under bacterium. Its description in RNAcentral is "partial 16S ribosomal RNA". It matches the Rfam family "Bacterial small subunit ribosomal RNA", at positions 355 to 776 of the family's 1533-position model. The record is from RNAcentral.
UGGGGGAUAUUGCACAAUGGGCGAAAGCCUGAUGCAGCGACGCCGCGUGGGGGAUGAAGGCUUUCGGGUUGUAAACCUCUUUCGCUAUCGAACAAGGCCCGCUUAGGGUGGGUUGAGGGUAGGUGGAGAAGAAGCGCCGGCUAACUACGUGCCAGCAGCCGCGGUAAUACGUAGGGCGCGAGCGUUGUCCGGAAUUAUUGGGCGUAAAGGGCUUGUAGGCGGCUUGUUGCGCCUGCUGUGAAAACGCGGGGCUUAACUUCGCGCGUGCAGUGGGUACGGGCAGGCUUGAGUGUGGUAGGGGUGACUGGAAUUCCAGGUGCAGCGGUGGAAUGCGCAGAUAUCUGGAGGAACACCGAUGGCGAAGGCAGGUCACUGGGCCAUUACUGACGCUGAGGAGCGAAAGCAUGGGUAGCGAACAGG